Molecule: ribosomal RNA, 392 nt
Filed under: uncultured bacterium
Lineage: Bacteria
Description: bacterial SSU rRNA
Rfam family: Bacterial small subunit ribosomal RNA
Source: RNAcentral
AUUGAACGCUGGCGGCAUGCCUUACACAUGCAAGUCGAACGGCAGCAUGGAAGAGCUUGCUCUUCUGAUGGCGAGUGGCGAACGGGUGAGUAAAGCAUCGGAACGUACCGUGUAGUGGGGGAUAACGUAGCGAAAGUUACGCUAAUACCGCAUACGCACUGAGGUGGAAAGCAGGGGAUCGCAAGACCUUGCGCUAUACGAGCGGCCGAUGUCAGAUUAGCUAGUUGGUAGGGUAAAGGCCUACCAAGGCGACGAUCUGUAGCGGGUCUGAGAGGAUGAUCCGCCACACUGGGACUGAGACACGGCCCAGACUCCUACGGGAGGCAGCAGUGGGGAAUUUUGGACAAUGGGCGAAAGCCUGAUCCAGCCAUGCCGCGUGAGUGAAGAAGGCC